Long non-coding RNA from Athene cunicularia (burrowing owl), 101 nucleotides. RefSeq lists it as uncharacterized. The record is from RefSeq and is a predicted model, not a curated record. The transcript has 3 exons. NCBI's taxonomy places the organism in Eukaryota, Metazoa, Chordata, Aves, Strigiformes, Strigidae.
GGUCCCUCACUUCAGGGACACAGCCCGGACAGCUGACCCCAACUGACCCAAGGGAUGUCCCAGCCCGUACGGCGUCAUGCUCAGCCUGUAGAGCUGGGGGA